GAUGAAGAACACAGCGAACGUGCGAAACGUAAUGUGAAUUGCAGAAUUCAGUGAAUCAUCGAAUCUUUGAACGCAUCUUGCGCUCCUUGGUAUUCCGAGGAGCAUGCCUGUUUGAGUGUCGUGAAUACUCUCAACUUCAACCCUUUUUUCGGAAAGGGAGGAAGGUUGGACUUGGGUGUUUGUUGAAGUGCGAGCUUCGACUCAUCCUAAAUGCAUUAGCGAUCUGCCUCGAUCACACACAAUGUGAUAAUUAAAACUAAAGCAUUGUUUAAUGAUCAAGUCGAGACUGCUUCUAACUGUCGCAAGACAAUAACGUGCAUACAUUUGUGCAUGUCAUUUGACCUCAAAUCAGGUAGGACUACCCGCUGAACUUAAGCAUAUCAAUAAGCGGAGGA
Molecule: unclassified non-coding RNA, 395 nt
Filed under: soil metagenome
Description: partial contains 5.8S ribosomal RNA, internal transcribed spacer 2, and large subunit ribosomal RNA
Rfam family: 5.8S ribosomal RNA (bases 1-121)
Source: RNAcentral